RNAcentral lists this long non-coding RNA (1373 nucleotides) under Mus musculus (house mouse). RNAcentral describes it as "long non-coding RNA chr3:79945048-79946421". The record is from RNAcentral. Lineage: Eukaryota; Metazoa; Chordata; Mammalia; Rodentia; Muridae.
AGAUUUAAUUUUUAGUUAGCUUUCCAUGGUUGCUGCGAGCCUUACAGUAGCUUGAGCUCUCCUUCCUCUUACUCCUCUUUAAUCAGGUUGUUAAGUACUUAGGAAGUGUAUCAUAGUGUACAACAUCCUAGACUUAUUCUUAAAACAAUUUUAUCUAUGGACUUGAGUAAUAAUGUGUUUAUUCUACUGUACCUUUAAAUAUGCAUUACAUUAUAUGUAACGAAUAAAUUAUUUAGAUAGAAAGUUAUUUUCAUGUUGUCUUAUGAAAUCCUAAUGUUUAUUUGAAUGCAGACUAUUUAAGUCACAUUUAAUGUACUAGUCUGAAAAACAUGUUGAAAUCAUAUAUAUAUGAAUUUGAUACUUCUGUCUCUCUUUUUUUCUCUCUCCCUCCUUCCCCCUUCUCUCUUUUGUAAAAUAAUAGUAAUAGUAGUAAUAGUAAUAAUAAUAAUAAUAAUAAUAAUAAUAAUAAUAAUAAUAAUAAUAAUAAUAAGUAAUAUAGCCAAGAACCAGGCUGGGGGAGUCCAGGGUAUUCAGUAGACUGUGGCACCGUGAUGCUUUGAGUUGGAGCCCAAGCAGUUGGAGUCUCACUGGAGAACACAGCAAGCACCUUGGGUGCUAUUUACCAGACUGACUCUUCUGCACUGAUGUGUGUUAGAGACACUGAUGGUGUGUACUUGAAUUCCAGCAUGCAAGAGUUGAGUCAGACUGACUUUAAGUUUGGGUCAGCCUGGACUACAGUCAGACCCUGUCUCAAAAACAAAUGAAAACCAAAACAGAACUCAGAAAGCAAGAACUUUCACUUUAUGAGAGAUUUUUUUUUUUUGGACUUGUUAGAACACUUAUCUGAAAUCAGAAAUAGUUUACUGUGACUUUGGCAUGUUCUUACAAUGUUGGGCCUGAUUUUCUACAGAAUGACUAUUGAGCAAAAUUUUAGGGAAGAGAUUAUGUUGUAGACUCAUGUUUCAUAGAAAUACAAGUUUUUCCUGGUUCAAAAAAUGAAUGUAAUGGUUAAAAUUUAUUACCAUGUUGGACCCUUUUAUAUCUAUUCCAAAUAUUUUAUAAUAUGGCUUUUAAAUGUUUAGCUUUAGAAAUAUUUUAAAAUGGACCUACCACUGUAGUGAUGCUGCAUUUAUUGUUAUGAUAAAAUACUUCACAAUCAUCUAUUUUUCCUAAGAAUCACUUUUAUCUUUUGGAAAAUUUUGCUUUAAUAAACUUCUAACUACUGCUGUAUACUUUUAUAUGUUUGAAAGUUAUUAUUUUAAUUUUGAAAAGUUCACUUAGUCAAACUCUUAGGAUAUAAUAAUAUAAUUUUAUAACUGAAUGGUUUCAUGGAUUUAUUAUUUAUCUAACUCCCACCCUGGAAAUAAACAUUU